RNAcentral lists this ribosomal RNA (416 nucleotides) under Kodamaea ohmeri. Its description in RNAcentral is "eukaryotic LSU rRNA". The stretch from base 115 to 266 matches the Rfam family "5.8S ribosomal RNA". Lineage: Eukaryota; Fungi; Ascomycota; Pichiomycetes; Serinales; Debaryomycetaceae. The record is from RNAcentral.
GAUCCCUCCGUAGGGGGACCUGCGGAAGGAUCAUUAACAUUAAUUUACUACACACUGUUUUUUUACAACUAAACAAAUCUAUCUAAAAAACAAUUCUUUACAAGAAAUUCUUAAAACUUUCAACAACGGAUCUCUUGGUUCUCGCAUCGAUGAAGAACGCAGCGAAAUGCGAUACGUAAUACGAAUCGCAGCUCUCGGAAUCAUCGAAUCUUUGAACGCACAUUGCACCAUUGGGUAUUCCCAAUGGUAUGCUUGUUUGAGCGAAUACUUCCCUAAUCCUCACGGAUUGUAUUGUGUUUGCACGAAAAUAAUGACGACAGUACUCUACAAAACGGUACCGUCAGUACACUCAUUUUUUUUCCUCAAAUCAAGUAGGACUACCCGCUGAACUUAAGCAUAUCAAAAGGCGGGAGGAA